GGGUUGUGAGGUUAAGCGACUAAGCGUACACGGUGGAUGCCCUGGCAGUCAGAGGCGAUGAAGGGCGUGCUAAUCUGCGAUAAGCGCCGGUAAGGUGAUAUGAACCGUUAUAACCGGCGAUACCCGAAUGGGGAAACCCAGUGUGACUCGUCACACUAUCAUUAACUGAAUCCAUAGGUUAAUGAGGCGAACCGGGGGAACUGAAACAUCUAAGUACCCCGAGGAAAAGAAAUCAACCGAGAUUCCCCCAGUAGCGGCGAGCGAACGGGGAGGAGCCCAGAGCCUGAAUCAGCAUGUGUGUUAGUGGAAGCGUCUGGAAAGGCGCGCGAUACAGGGUGACAGCCCCGUACACAAAAGCGCAUGUGCUGUGAGCUCGAUGAGUAGGGCGGGACACGUGGUAUCCUGUCUGAAUAUGGGGGGACCAUCCUCCAAGGCUAAAUACUCCUGACUGACCGAUAGUGAACCAGUACCGUGAGGGAAAGGCGAAAAGAACCCCGGCGAGGGGAGUGAAAAAGAACCUGAAACCGUGUACGUACAAGCAGUGGGAGCGUGUGACUGCGUACCUUUUGUAUAAUGGGUCAGCGACUUAUAUUCUGUAGCAAGGUUAACCGAAUAGGGGAGCCGGAGGGAAACCGAGUCUUAAUUGGGCGUUAAGUUGCAGGGUAUAGACCCGAAACCCGGUGAUCUAGCCAUGGGCAGGUUGAAGGUUGGGUAACACUAACUGGAGGACCGAACCGACUAAUGUUGAAAAAUUAGCGGAUGACCUGUGGCUGGGGGUGAAAGGCCAAUCAAACCGGGAGAUAGCUGGUUCUCCCCGAAAGCUAUUUAGGUAGCGCCUCGUGAAUUCAUCUCCGGGGGUAGAGCACUGUUUCGGCUAGGGGGCCAUCCCGGCUUACCAACCCGAUGCAAACUGCGAAUACCGGAGAAUGUUAUCACGGGAGACACACGGCGGGUGCUAACGUCCGUCGUGAAGAGGGAAACAACCCAGACCGCCAGCUAAGGUCCCAAAGUCAUGGUUAAGUGGGAAACGAUGUGGGAAGGCCCAGACAGCCAGGAUGUUGGCUUAGAAGCAGCCAUCAUUUAAAGAAAGCGUAAUAGCUCACUGGUCGAGUCGGCCUGCGCGGAAGAUGUAACGGGGCUAAACCAUGCACCGAAGCUGCGGCAGCGAUUGUUGGGUAGGGGAGCGUUCUGUAAGCCUGCGAAGGUGGCCUGUGAGGGUUGCUGGAGGUAUCAGAAGUGCGAAUGCUGACAUAAGUAACGAUAAAGCGGGUGAAAAGCCCGCUCGCCGGAAGACCAAGGGUUCCUGUCCAACGUUAAUCGGGGCAGGGUGAGUCGACCCCUAAGGCGAGGCCGAAAGGCGUAGUCGAUGGGAAACGGGUUAAUAUUCCCGUACUUGGUGUUACUGCGAAGGGGGGACGGAGAAGGCUAUGUUGGCCGGGCGACGGUUGUCCCGGUUUAAGCGUGUAGGUGUGUGUUCCAGGUAAAUCCGGUUCACUUUAACACUGAGGCGUGACGACGAGGCACUACGGUGCUGAAGCAACAAAUGCCCUGCUUCCAGGAAAAGCCUCUAAGCAUCAGGUAACAUCAAAUCGUACCCCAAACCGACACAGGUGGUCAGGUAGAGAAUACCAAGGCGCUUGAGAGAACUCGGGUGAAGGAACUAGGCAAAAUGGUGCCGUAACUUCGGGAGAAGGCACGCUGACACGUAGGUGAAGUGAUUUACUCAUGGAGCUGAAGUCAGUCGAAGAUACCAGCUGGCUGCAACUGUUUAUUAAAAACACAGCACUGUGCAAACACGAAAGUGGACGUAUACGGUGUGACGCCUGCCCGGUGCCGGAAGGUUAAUUGAUGGGGUCAGCGCAAGCGAAGCUCCUGAUCGAAGCCCCGGUAAACGGCGGCCGUAACUAUAACGGUCCUAAGGUAGCGAAAUUCCUUGUCGGGUAAGUUCCGACCUGCACGAAUGGCGUAAUGAUGGCCAGGCUGUCUCCACCCGAGACUCAGUGAAAUUGAACUCGCUGUGAAGAUGCAGUGUACCCGCGGCAAGACGGAAAGACCCCGUGAACCUUUACUAUAGCUUGACACUGAACAUUGAGCCUUGAUGUGUAGGAUAGGUGGGAGGCUUUGAAGUGUGGACGCCAGUCUGCAUGGAGCCGACCUUGAAAUACCACCCUUUAAUGUUUGAUGUUCUAACGUGGACCCGUAAUCCGGGUUGCGGACAGUGUCUGGUGGGUAGUUUGACUGGGGCGGUCUCCUCCUAAAGAGUAACGGAGGAGCACGAAGGUUGGCUAAUCCUGGUCGGACAUCAGGAGGUUAGUGCAAUGGCAUAAGCCAGCUUGACUGCGAGCGUGACGGCGCGAGCAGGUGCGAAAGCAGGUCAUAGUGAUCCGGUGGUUCUGAAUGGAAGGGCCAUCGCUCAACGGAUAAAAGGUACUCCGGGGAUAACAGGCUGAUACCGCCCAAGAGUUCAUAUCGACGGCGGUGUUUGGCACCUCGAUGUCGGCUCAUCACAUCCUGGGGCUGAAGUAGGUCCCAAGGGUAUGGCUGUUCGCCAUUUAAAGUGGUACGCGAGCUGGGUUUAGAACGUCGUGAGACAGUUCGGUCCCUAUCUGCCGUGGGCGCUGGAGAACUGAGGGGGGCUGCUCCUAGUACGAGAGGACCGGAGUGGACGCAUCACUGGUGUUCGGGUUGUCAUGCCAAUGGCACUGCCCGGUAGCUAAAUGCGGAAGAGAUAAGUGCUGAAAGCAUCUAAGCACGAAACUUGCCCCGAGAUGAGUUCUCCCUGAGACUUAGAGUCUCCUGAAGGAACGUUGAAGACGACGACGUUGAUAGGCCGGGUGUGUAAGCGCAGCGAUGCGUUGAGCUAACCGGUACUAAUGAACCGUGAGGCUUAACCUUA
This 2896-nucleotide ribosomal RNA is filed under the name Salmonella enterica subsp. enterica. RNAcentral's name for it is "bacterial LSU rRNA". It matches the Rfam family "Bacterial large subunit ribosomal RNA". Lineage: Bacteria; Pseudomonadati; Pseudomonadota; Gammaproteobacteria; Enterobacterales; Enterobacteriaceae. The record is from RNAcentral.